UAGGGAAUAUUGGGCAAUGGAUGCAAGUCUGACCCAGCCAUGCCGCGUGCCGGAUGAAGGCCCUCAGGGUUGUAAACGGCUUUUAUUCGGGAAGAAGAGCGAGGAUGCGUCCUUGUGUGACUGUACCGAAUGAAUAAGCACCGGCUAACUCCGUGCCAGCAGCCGCGGUAAUACGGAGGGUGCGAGCGUUGUCCGGAUUUAUUGGGUUUAAAGGGUGCGUAGGUGGCUUAAUAAGUCAGUGUUCAAAUACAGCCGCUCAACGGUUGAGGUGCCAUUGAUACUGUUAAGCUUGAAAAAAGUGGAGGCUGACGGAAUAGAUGGUGUAGCGGUGAAAUGCAUAGAUAUCAUCCAGAACACCGAUUGCGAAGGCAGGUGGCUACGAUUGAUUUGACACUGAGGAACGAAAGCAUGGGGAGCAAACA
This 422-nucleotide ribosomal RNA is filed under the name uncultured bacterium. RNAcentral's name for it is "bacterial SSU rRNA". It matches the Rfam family "Bacterial small subunit ribosomal RNA", at positions 355 to 774 of the family's 1533-position model. The record is from RNAcentral.